RNAcentral lists this ribosomal RNA (506 nucleotides) under uncultured bacterium. RNAcentral's name for it is "bacterial SSU rRNA". It matches the Rfam family "Bacterial small subunit ribosomal RNA", at positions 28 to 526 of the family's 1533-position model. The record is from RNAcentral.
GACGAACGCUGGCGGCGUGGAUUAGGCAUGCAAGUCGAACGGUAUCAUCCUUUCGGGGGUGAGAGAGUGGCGAACUGGUGAGUAACACGUAGGUUAUCUACCCUCAAGACGGGGACAACCCAGGGAAACUUGGGCUAAUACCGGAUGUGAGCAACUUUUAGUUGUUUGAAAGGUGGCGUAAGCUGUCGCUUGGGGAUGAGCCUGCGUCCUAUUAGUUAGUUGGUGAGGUAACGGCUCACCUAGGCAAUGAUAGGUAGGCGGCCUUAACGGGUGUCGCCCACACUGGGAUUGAGAUACGGCCCAGACUCCUACGGGAGCAGCAGUCGAGAAUAGUCUACAAUGGUCGGAAGACUGAUAGUGCGACGCCGCGUGAACGAUGAAUCCCUUCGGGGUGUAAAGUUCUUUUAUAUGUGAGCAGUGCUUCUUAUAUUAACAGUAUGGGGAGAGAGAUAUUAGCAUAUGAAUAAGCAACGGCUAACUCCGUAGCCAGCAGCCGACGGUAAACA